This is a long non-coding RNA of Oncorhynchus tshawytscha (Chinook salmon), 2692 nucleotides long. The record is from Ensembl. Lineage: Eukaryota; Metazoa; Chordata; Actinopteri; Salmoniformes; Salmonidae.
GCUUUAUUAACUCAAUGAUACAUAUCUUUUUUACAUUGUUUGUAAAAUGAUAUGUGACCUGUAUUAAUGCAAGCCCCCCCAAAAAUGUUUUUUCUAAAAAUGUGGGUCUCAAAAGCCCCACCUGCCCUGAAUGACGGGUCGGCACUGGCCACUGUUAUCAUGCAGUUUGGUGUAGUCACUUGGCUGUUGUUGUCAGAACUGAAUAAUUUAUGCCGUGGUCUUCCAACAUGACCACCAGGAGGAAUCGUUUACAUGAAAACGAAUCAAAACUAAUAGUUUGAAUCCUCAGCAUGUUUCAAAUGGUUCAGCAAAGUAGUCACUUCCUACUGCAGCUUCCUUUGAAUGUGACCAGUGACAUUAUAAGGGGUUUUAAAAGCACAGUAGGGGCUCCCCCAUACCAGUUUGGCAUUUACAGAGGGAAAUCUUGUUUAGACCAGACAGAUCUACAUUAGACCAACACCAGGAACAUGCAGUAUACAGCGACAGAUCAUGGGCAUUUUUACAGUAUUCUCUUUGUACAUCAAGUCAGAACCGUAGAAUAAAUAACGGGGCCAAAUAAGCAGACAAUGAAAGCUCUUAUAAUAUUCUAUGAUUACAUUUCUCUAAAACAGGCUAUAGACUACAUGUGCAUGUGCACCACCAAGUCAGAACAGUAGGCGAAAGAGGGGAAAAGGGACCAAAUUAUUAACGUGAGGCACAUGGGGUACUAACAGCUUACUACACACCACACACGUAGUAUUACUUUCUUAGCUACAGUAUACAUAACUCCCUGGCAUAUUACAUCAUUUAUGUAUCAGUAUAAAGUAUCACCUAGUUGUGCUCACUUCCUUACAAACCACUCAUUGUUGAAUUUGCAAUUUCCAACUUGUUGUGUAAUGUUUAUGUCCAAUGGCCGACGAGCACCGAUACGUUUGAUCUAUAUUGGAACACAGGAGUGAUGGUUGCUGAUAAUGGGCCUCUGUACACCUAUGUAGAUAUUGCAUUAAAAAUCUGCCUUUUCCAGCUACAAUAGUCAUUUACAACAUUAACCAUGUCUAUACUGUAUGUCUUUAAAAACAAGGAUAUUUAUAAGUGACCCCAAACGUUUGAACGAGUGUUUUUUUUUGUGUGUGUUUUUUUACAUUGUUUGCAAACUGAUAUGUGACACGUAUUAAUGCCAAAAUAACAUGCAAAACAGGCAAGCCCUGCCAAAAAAUUUUUUUCUAAAAAUGUGGGUCUCAAAAGCUCCACCUGCCCUGAAUGACGGGUCGGCACUGGCCACUGUUAUCAUGCAGUUUGGUGUAGUCACUUGGCUGUUGUUGUCAGAACAGAAUAAUGAAUGCCGUGGUCUUCAAACAUGACCGUCAGGAGGCAUCGUACGUCAAGCCCUCUAUAGGCUAUGCAAAGCCUUGAUCUGUGCUUACAGUACAUAGACUUGACACCUGAUGACAAUCAAACAGGACACGACCCAGACCAGAACGAAAAGAUUUCAUUUCAGACCCGGUCCCAAGUCAAGUCUGGAAUAUUCAGGUGGACCUGUGAAGACCUUUAAACUGGAGUAAACAGAUAAUUUGCUUGACAUUUGUAAAUUGAAUAAUCCUUGACAUUAGUCAUCACAUGUCAUGGUCUCUUAGUUCACAGCAAGCUACAUAACAAUAAGCAAUUAACAUGUCCAAUUCUUCACACAUUCAGAGAAUUAAAUUCAGAAUUCUAAGUAAAAUAACGUCAUUGACUAUUUACAUUAAAACUAAUCAUUUGGUCUAACAUAAAACCAAAUCGUUUGAAUCCUCAGCAUGAUUCAAAUGGUUCAGCAAAGUAGUCACUUCCUACUGCAGCUUCCUUAUAAUGUGACCAGUGACAUUAUAAGGGGUUUUAAUAGCACAGUAGGGGCUCCCCCAUUCCAGUUUGGCAUUUACAGAGGGAAAUCUUGUUUAGAGCAGACAGAUCUACAUUAGACCAACACCAGGAACAUGCAGUAUACAAAAUGCAUAAAGACAACGAUGGCUAUUCAGUCAUGUAUCAGCUAUAUAACUACAGUAGUCUGGUUUGAUUAUGUUACUCUUCUUAGAAAUAUGAAAGCACCUGUACUUUAAGAAGUGAGUAAACUCUACAAUUGCAAUACACAGGCUCCCUUUUUUUGGGGGGGGGGGCUUCAUUCACUGAGUCUAGCUCACUUUCGGUUCAUUGAUCACAGUCAUUUCUCCCAUCAUGCUGUUCUUCUCUUCUCUUUUAGUUCUUAAACCUUGUCUCCAUGGCCACAUUUUGUACUCUGCUCUCGUCAUCAUAUUCAUAACUCAGGGUUCAGUUCAGUGUCAGCGAACUAGGGAAAACCAUGAUUAACCACUUUCAGGCGCCGUUUGCCUCUUUGCGUAACACAACAAAGAAUAGUUCAGACAUGACGGCACAACACAUUGCUCAAUGUUGCUCCAAGUUCUACAUUGAACACAGGCCUUAUUUUAAGUUUCAGUUCCUCUUAUCAUCAUCCCUCCAUUUUGUUGUCUGCCAGUUGAAGAGAGAUUGUUGCAUCAGAGGGGGGAGACGCUUUACACAUUCAGGCAGAGUCAUCUUCAUACACAUUAAACGAAUGGGUCACGCCUCUUUCCUGCCUCUCUGUGUCUCUCUGGGAAAAACAAAAAACAUUUCUCACACACAAAGUCUGAAAUGCUCGUUCAAUUCACAACUCUAUUCAAUCACUAUUUAAGAACUAGUUUAU